This 204-nucleotide ribosomal RNA is filed under the name uncultured bacterium. RNAcentral describes it as "partial 16S ribosomal RNA". It matches the Rfam family "Bacterial small subunit ribosomal RNA", at positions 1298 to 1500 of the family's 1533-position model. The record is from RNAcentral.
UUGCAGGCUGCAACCCGCCUGCAUGAAGUCGGAAUUGCUAGUAAUCGCGGAUCAGCAUGCCGCGAUGAAUACGUUCCCGGGGCCCUUGUACACACCGCCCGUCACACCAUGGGAGCCGGUAAUACCCGAAGUCAGUAGUCCAACCACGUGAGGACGCUGCCGAAGGUAGGAUUGGCGACUGGGGUGAAGUCGUAACAAGGUACC